RNAcentral lists this ribosomal RNA (254 nucleotides) under uncultured bacterium. Its description in RNAcentral is "partial 16S ribosomal RNA". It matches the Rfam family "Bacterial small subunit ribosomal RNA", at positions 524 to 776 of the family's 1533-position model. The record is from RNAcentral.
UACGGAGGAUCCAAGCGUUAUCCGGAAUUACUGGGCGUAAAGAGUUGCGUAGGUGGUUUGUUAAGUAAGACAUGAAAUCGUGUGGCUCAACCAUACGGCUAUGUUUUAAACUGACAGACUAGAGGAUGAGAGAGGUUAUUGGAAUUCCCAGUGUAGGAGUGAAAUCCGUAGAUAUUGGGAGGAACACCGAUGGCGUAGGCAGAUAACUGGCUCAUUCCUGACACUAAGGCACGAAAGCGUGGGUAGCAAAUGGG